RNAcentral lists this ribosomal RNA (563 nucleotides) under uncultured bacterium. RNAcentral describes it as "partial 16S ribosomal RNA". It matches the Rfam family "Bacterial small subunit ribosomal RNA", at positions 355 to 914 of the family's 1533-position model. The record is from RNAcentral.
UGGGGAAUUUUGGACAAUGGGCGAAAGCCUGAUCCAGCAAUGCCGCGUGUGUGAAGAAGGCCUUCGGUUGUAAAGCACUUUUGUCCGGAAAGAAAUCCUUGGCUCUAAUACAGUCGGGGGAUGACGGUACCGGAAGAAUAAGCACCGGCUAACUACGUGCCAGCAGCCGCGGUAAUACGUAGGGUGCAAGCGUUAAUCGGAAUUACUGGGCGUAAAGCGUGCGCAGGCGGUUUGCUAAGACCGAUGUGAAAUCCCCGGGCUCAACCUGGGAACUGCAUUGGUGACUGGCAGGCUAGAGUAUGGCAGAGGGGGGUAGAAUUCCACGUGUAGCAGUGAAAUGCGUAGAGAUGUGGAGGAAUACCGAUGGCGAAGGCAGCCCCCUGGGCCAAUACUGACGCUCAUGCACGAAAGCGUGGGGAGCAAACAGGAUUAGAUACCCUGGUAGUCCACGCCCUAAACGAUGUCAACUAGUUGUGGGGAUUCAUUCCUUAGUAACGUAGCUAACGCGUGAAGUUGACCGCCUGGGGAGUACGGUCGCAAGAUUAAAACUUAAAGGAAUUGAC